GUGCCAGCAGCCGCGGUAAUACGUAGGGUGCGAGCGUUAAUCGGAAUUACUGGGCGUAAAGCGUGCGCAGGCGGUUUGCUAAGACCGAUGUGAAAUCCCCGGGCUCAACCCUGGAACUGCAUUGGUGACUGGCANGCUAGAGUAUGGCAGAAGGGGGUAGAAUUCCACGUGUAGCAGUGAAAUGCGUAGAGAUGUGGAGGAAUACCGAUGGCGAAAGCACCCCCCUGGGCCAAUAUUGCCGGUUCAUCCAGGAAAGCGGGGGAGGCAAACAGGAUUGAAUACCUUGUAGUCC
Molecule: ribosomal RNA, 292 nt
Filed under: uncultured microorganism
Description: partial 16S ribosomal RNA
Rfam family: Bacterial small subunit ribosomal RNA
Source: RNAcentral